CCUACGGGCGGCAGCAGUGGGGAAUAUUGGGCAAUGGGCGCAAGCCUGACCCAGCAACGCCGCGUGAAGGAAGAAGGCUUUCGGGUUGUCAACUUCUUUUCUCAGGGACGAAGCAAGUGACGGUACUUGAGGAAUAAGCCACGGCUAACUACGUGCCAGCAGCAGCGGUAAUACGUAGGUGGCAAGCGUUAUCCGGAUUUACUGGGUGUAAAGGGUGUGUAGGCGGCAAAGCAAGUCAGAUGUGAAAACCAUGGGCUCAACCAGUGACUUGCAGUUGACACUGUUUUUCUUGAGUAUUGGUGAGGCAGGCGGAAUGCGUGGUGUAGCGGUGAAAUGCGUAGAUAUUAGGAGGAACACCAGUGGCGAAGGCGGUCUGCUAGGCAACGACUGACGCUGAUGCACGAAAGCGUGGGGAGCAAACAGGAUUAGAUACCCUAGUAGUC
Molecule: ribosomal RNA, 443 nt
Filed under: uncultured bacterium
Lineage: Bacteria
Description: partial 16S ribosomal RNA
Rfam family: Bacterial small subunit ribosomal RNA
Source: RNAcentral